Molecule: long non-coding RNA, 352 nt
Organism: Stomoxys calcitrans (stable fly)
Lineage: Eukaryota; Metazoa; Arthropoda; Insecta; Diptera; Muscidae
Exons: 2
Source: RefSeq, a predicted model, not a curated record
CUGAGACAAGAUGAAAGUGUCCAUUGCGCUGUUAAUGCCAUUGUUCAUAGCCAUAGGGAGGUUAAAGUGUCAAGAAAUGGCGUUACCAUCAAAUACAUCUUUUUAUGAAACAUCUUUUCUACUGAUUCAGGCUCCUGUCAGAUAUUCUCCUUGCGGCUACAAGCAUAAUGGAAAGCCAAUAAAGUGUCCAUCAUAUAUUUAAUUGAAGCAAAAUGUUUUAAAAUAAUUACAAAGAGUUAAAAAUAGAAAAAAAAAAAAUUUAUGAAAAAAAAAUAAUUUUUUGAAGAAAAUUAGAUCAAGAUGUGUGUGCUCUAAAUAUUUCGCCAACGCAAACAAAACAAUAUAGCAAGAA